AACCAACCGGGAUUGCCUUAGUAACGGCGAGUGAAGCGGCAAAAGCUCAAAUUUGAAAUCUGGUACCUUCGGUGCCCGAGUUGUAAUUUGGAGAGGGCAACUUUGGGGCCGUUCCUUGUCUAUGUUCCUUGGAACAGGACGUCAUAGAGGGUGAGAAUCCCGUGUGGCGAGGAGUGCGGUUCUUUGUAAAGUGCCUUCGAAGAGUCGAGUUGUUUGGGAAUGCAGCUCUAAGUGGGUGGUAAAUUCCAUCUAAAGCUAAAUAUUGGCGAGAGACCGAUAGCGAACAAGUACAGUGAUGGAAAGAUGAAAAGAACUUUGAAAAGAGAGUGAAAAAGUACGUGAAAUUGUUGAAAGGGAAGGGCAUUUGAUCAGACAUGGUGUUUUGUGCCCUAUGCUCCUUGUGGGUAGGGGAAUCUCGCAUUUCACUGGGCCAGCAUCAGUUUUGGUGGCAGGAUAAAUCCAUAGGAAUGUAGCUUGCCUCGGUAAGUAUUAUAGCCUGUGGGAAUACUGCC
This 512-nucleotide ribosomal RNA is filed under the name uncultured Saccharomyces. RNAcentral's name for it is "eukaryotic LSU rRNA". It matches the Rfam family "Eukaryotic large subunit ribosomal RNA", at positions 63 to 578 of the family's 3401-position model. The record is from RNAcentral. Lineage: Eukaryota; Fungi; Ascomycota; Saccharomycetes; Saccharomycetales; Saccharomycetaceae.